RNAcentral lists this ribosomal RNA (496 nucleotides) under uncultured bacterium. RNAcentral's name for it is "partial 16S ribosomal RNA". It matches the Rfam family "Bacterial small subunit ribosomal RNA", at positions 28 to 506 of the family's 1533-position model. The record is from RNAcentral.
GAUGAACGCUGGCGGCGUGCCUAAUACAUGCAAGUAGAACGCUGAAGCUUGGUGCUUGCACCGAGCGGAUGAGUUGCGAACGGGUGAGUAACGCGUAGGUAACCUGCCUCUUAGCGGGGGAUAACUAUUGGAAACGAUAGCUAAUACCGCAUAAAAGUCGAUAUCGCAUGAUAUUGAUUUGAAAGGUGCAAAUGCAUCACUAAGAGAUGGACCUGCGUUGUAUUAGCUAGUUGGUGAGGUAACGGCUCACCAAGGCGACGAUACAUAGCCGACCUGAGAGGGUGAUCGGCCACACUGGGACUGAGACACGGCCCAGACUCCUACGGGAGGCAGCAGUAGGGAAUCUUCGGCAAUGGGGGCAACCCUGACCGAGCAACGCCGCGUGAGUGAAGAAGGUUUUCGGAUCGUAAAGCUCUGUUGUAAGAGAAGAACGAGUGUGAGAGUGGAAAGUUCACACUGGGACGGUAACUUACCAGAAAGGGACGGCUAACUACGU